RNAcentral lists this long non-coding RNA (2035 nucleotides) under Homo sapiens (human). Its description in RNAcentral is "non-protein coding lnc-TMEM211-1:1". The record is from RNAcentral. Lineage: Eukaryota; Metazoa; Chordata; Mammalia; Primates; Hominidae.
AGGCUGAUGCACUUCCUGACACUCCUCCUGGAGGCCCACUCUCCCCCUGCCGCGGCCUCCCCAUCCGCCACUCUGCUCUUAACCUCAGCAAGUUCUAGGCCCCUUCCCAGCCUGGGUGAGGGGGACUCAGCAGCCUUCUCUGGCUCUGGGUCCAGCUUGGCCUUUUCUUCCCAGGGACUCUGGUCAUUGCUGGGGGUGACCCCAGAUGAGCCCCCCACCAGGGCUCUGGGGCUGCCCAUCUCCGGCUUCGAAAGCAUCUUCUCCUUCCGUUCACGGAUUUUCUUGGCCACCUCCAGGAAGUCCAAAUCAGGAUCAUGAAGAGGAGCCUCCGCCUUGACCAAACAGUCCCUGUCCAGCUUGGACGCUGCUCUGGGCCUCUCUAGCCCAGCCAUAUCCCCUGCUGUGGGUCCACUUCCUUCAUCGGCCACCUUCCUCAGCAAGGCCUCUUUGUUCUCAAACCGGGCCGUGAGGUCCAUGGACAAGGGCCUGGGCUUCCUCACCCACGUCUUCUCGGGAGGGGUGGGUGGCACUUUGCCCACUGUGGCCGCUGCGCCGGGGCCUGGCUUCUGAGGCUGAAUGGACUCCGUGAAAAUGGCAGACACGGGCCUUCUCUUCAGGCGAGGCCUGGGCUCCACAAGGGGGCGUGCCGUGUCCUCCACACUGCUGGCCUUUGAGGGAGGAUGGUCUUGGCCUGCCUCCUCUUGGGGUACAGGUGGUUUUGUGUCCUGAGACAGGGGAGCUGACCGGGGAAGGGUCCCCGCAGGCUUCUGGGUGGGCAGGGCGGGCUUGGCAGCCACCUCAGGCCGGGAGCCGGACACACCUAGCUUGGCCUCCUCCGCCCCCUCACUAACCGCCUUCCCCAGAGCGGGGCCGCUUUUGGUGGUUUCGAAGAGAAUCAUGGUGCUGGAGCUGGGCCGCAGGAACACAGCCUUGUUGAAGAGGGGCGAGCUCGUCCUCGGGCCCUCCCCACUGCCCACCUCCUGCCCCACCAAGCCGGGCAUCCUGUUGUCCAGAUCCUUUGCUGCUGGCUCCUCAGAGAGCCCCCCAGAGGGGGAAGGUCCAGUCGAACUGGGCCGCAGAGACGGGACAGGAGAUUUCACGUCCUGCUCCUUCGAGAAGGGUUUGGGGGCGAGCCUUGGCAGAGGGAGUAACCGGGCCGGGCUCCGCAGGGGGCUCUUCGCUUCCAAGAUCCGGGCUGGGGGAGCCCCAGAGGCUUCGCCGGCCUGGAGGAAGUAGGUCCUCGUCAGGGUCUCCUCCUUGCCCAUCUCACCCAGGCCUGGCACGGCCGUCAAGGGCGUUAUGGAGCCCACCUCGACCCGCGUGGCCAUGGUUAUGGUUGUGGAUUCAUGGGGGUUAGGAACUUCAAGAAUGGAGAAGCAAUUGCUAAACAAACAAAACAAACAAACAAGUAAAUUUGGAAAACAGUCAGUGUCUGGGUUGAAGCAGAAUGGUUUAGAGAAAUGGGACAGAGUCCUGAGCCCCAGAUUCCAUACGACAGCCCUCUGCUGACCUCACCCGGCAGGCUUGGGCCUGCCUCUCCCCGUCUCUGAGCUCUGGACGAGGGGAGUGGACUAAACGCCCAUCCCUGAAGUUCGUUCCAGCUCCAAGGGUGUAGAAAAGGCAUCAACACUCUGGAGGACUUUCCCCUGACAGCUAAUCUAGAGGCCAGCACUUAAUGGCAAAAAGCAGUGAUCUCUGCUACACAGAUAAGGAAACCAGCUCAGAGAGGCCAAGUAACUGGAGUCACCCAGGAAGCAAGAGGCGAAGUCAGGACUUAAAACCAGAGCCUGCCCACAUCCCAGGUGAUCCUAAUCACAAGUGUGUGCUAAGCAUCUAGCACAGAGAAGGCAAGUAACCUGCUGCAGGUCACACAGCAAUGCAGCUCAGGAGUGCCUGGGAGCACAAAGCUGGUUAGUGACCUUGGAACCCAUGCCCUAGGCACCAACCCCACCCAAUCAUCCCUUUGUCCCUUUUCUUUCCCCUCCCCCACCCUUCCAGAUGCCAUAAAAAGAAGCCAUUCUCAUUUUUCUCACUC